CUGGAACAAAAGCUGUCAGUGCCUCUUUACACCACUUGCAGAAACACAAGAGACCACUGGGAAAUUGUCUCCCAACAGUAAGGAGGAGAGAGAGAGUCAAUUCAUGGUUUGGCCUUUUUUAAAAAGAGAAAUGGUUUUCUAAGUUUCUUGUUGGUGGAGACCCCAUAACCCUGACUUCAGAAGUAGACUUCAGAAUAGUGGUAAAACCUGAUACAUCAGUCCUGGAGUAUUGGAUGAUGCCAUUCUCAAAGAAGAAGUGGAGGAAGAAGAGGAAGAGGAGAAAAAAGAGAAGAGGAAGACGUAUAAAUAUGAAUGCCCAUUCAAAGUAAAAAGAUGCUCAAUCUUUCUAACAAAGAAUUUCCCGCCAUAAAUGUAUGUAAAAAAUUAUGUGAAGGAAGUUUCUCACAAAACAUGUUAUAAUAUGGAUGGUUCACUUGAAUCCAGGAGUUUGCCGGAACUCAGAGGCAGCGCUGGAAUUCGCCGGGUUUCCAGUAGAUGGCAGGCAUCCUCUUUCAUUUCAGUGGCAUCUAGCUGAAGAAAUGCUGCUAUUUCAAACCUACUUCUUUGCGUGAGACAGCUGCACUUGCAUCAAAAAAUGGCAAAGGCCCUGAUUCACAAGUUUAGUCAAAUUUAGAAUCAAGUUAUUCAAGCUGAAACUGAAAAUAUAUUGUGAUAUUUAAAAGUUUCAUUUGGAGACUGUAUAUUCAUUCAUUCGUUUGGCAAACAGUAAGUGCCUCGUAUGUGUUUUUCAUACUUUGUUUCAUUUACUCCUCCCCCUAACAAUGAGAUUAAGUGUUUUUAUUAGUCUCACUUUAGAGAUUGGGGAAUUGAGGCUUGAAGAGAUUAAAUAAUUUAUUAGCCUGAAGGGGUUCCAGAACAGGCCUCCCCAAGAUGUGCCACUUUGGCAUGUGGAAUAUUUUGAGCUAAAGGCAAUCUAGACCCUGUGAGCGCAAGAGAAACUUUUACGUCUUCUUUAAAGAAUUUAAAUUGGAGGCCUUGCCCGUAAUAAGAGUUACUGCUAUAAAUAAAUUUUAAUGACCUAUCUGUUAUGGGAGGGCAAACCUCUAAUUGCUGAACGUCUGCUCUUCUUAUCAUCCUGUGAAUUGCCCUCAUCCCCUCUAAAGCCUCAGGCCCCUGUCCCAUUCCUUAGCUCAAGAUGGCAAAUUUACCUCAUUUUACCUUUUGUCUAACAACUUCUCAGGUUUGUGAGCUCUCUGACCCUCUCAUGUAUGUGGGCUUCCUGCACAUACAAAAUUAAAUUUUAUUUUCUCCUGUUAAUCUGUCUCAUGUCAAUUUAAUUCUUAGACCAGCCAGAAUAACCUAGAAGGGCAGAGGAAAAUCCCUCCCCCACAAGCCCAAGAUAAACUGUC
This 1370-nucleotide long non-coding RNA is filed under the name Equus caballus (horse). Its description in RNAcentral is "lncRNA (ENSECAG00000036780.3)". The record is from RNAcentral. Lineage: Eukaryota; Metazoa; Chordata; Mammalia; Perissodactyla; Equidae.